This 397-nucleotide long non-coding RNA is filed under the name Trifolium pratense (red clover). Its description in RNAcentral is "long non-coding RNA (TPRA_LNC008586)". The record is from RNAcentral. Lineage: Eukaryota; Viridiplantae; Streptophyta; Magnoliopsida; Fabales; Fabaceae.
UUAUUCUCUAACUCUUAAAACAUUUGCUUCACACUCUUGCUAAGUUGAGCGUCGGAGCACUUGCAUGUACAGAACCCUCCUCUCAUUCAUGGAGUUGAGGAGCAUCAUCAUCAGGCAAGAUCUUCUCUAACCAAAGAAACAAAUCAAACUACCAAAAAAAAUAUCUAGUUAAUCAAAUAAAUGAAAACAUAAACCCCUUAUUAAAUUCAAGAAGUAAAAAUCUUUAAUUUAAACCUAUUAUAUACAAUUUUUUAUGUUAAAAAUAAAAACUCUUAAAAUAACAAAUGACCAAAGAAAACUAAAAUAAUUAAUGACGAAAAAAAAUAAAAACAUGUUAAUGAUUAAUAUUUGUCAAUAUUUUUUAUUUACAUUGAUGGUGCACAACAAUUAAACUCAU